Molecule: small RNA, 665 nt
Filed under: Pan troglodytes (chimpanzee)
Lineage: Eukaryota; Metazoa; Chordata; Mammalia; Primates; Hominidae
Description: retained intron
Source: RNAcentral
AAUAUGUUUCGACAGCAACAAAAGAUUCUUCAACAAUCUAGAAUUGUUCAGAGCCAGAGAUUGAAAACAAUUAAACAGUUAUAUGAGCAGUUCAUAAAGAGUAUGGAAGAGUUGGAGAAGAAUCAUGAUAAUCUACUUACUGGUGCACAAAAUGAAUUUAAAAAAGAAAUGGCUAUGUUGCAAAAAAAAAUUAUGAUGGAAACUGUAAGUGAUCAUAUUGAAAUUGAAAAAAUAAGGAUUGAUAUAAGCAAUGAAAUAUUUUAUUUGCUAAAAUAGGUAUAACACUUAAAUAAAAAUUAAACAAAUGUUUAAUAUCUCCUUCCAUGAAACAGCAGCAGCAAGAGAUAGCAAGUGUUCGGAAGUCUCUUCAAUCCAUGUUAUUCUGAUGACUCUUUGAAGAAAGAACUUGAACCUAAGUAAUAUGAUACAAUUAUAACGUUAGCUAAGAAGCAUAUUGUAACUCUUUAGAAUAGUUUAAUUGUAACAUCUUUAAUCAUAAACCUGUUUCAUUGUAAGACCUCCCUUUCUGUUAAGUCAAAUCUAAAUAGUUAUGAGUUAGUUAGCAACUAUUCCUAAAGAAUAUGUAUUAAGCUUUCAGCUCUUUAGUAAUGAUAGUGAAUUUUUCUCUCUAACACUGUCAAUUAAAUAAAGACGAUUUAAUUUUA